GCCAGAGCGGGGGACGGGGCACCCUGCCCUCCACUCCACUCUGUCCAGUUUCUGCAUUUAUUUUGAUAAAUACCAGUGACAACGGCUGUCUGGGAGCUUAAACUGUGCUCCUGUUCCCCCUCUGGGGCAAAGGCACACUCCACCCAAGCCCUGUCCUCUGCUGAGAGGUAGAGAGCCCGUGCCAGCAGGCAGAAGAGCCAGGGGACUGAGCUAGGCUGGCCGUGUCCCCCCACCGGAGGCCCUGGCCUCAGCAUCAAGGCACCACCCCAGCUGCUCUGUGAAUACGUAGACGCCGGGCGAACAGGAGAGGAGGACUGAGCUCAUUAGCAAGACGCUGAACUCAAUUAGAUAACCGGGCGCCUCGAACAAGAAACCAACUGGCCCGGGUGACGGGGACGCUGGAACUCUCCCCGCCAAAGUGAGAUGAAAAUGGGGGAAGAGAACAUUCCUCAUGGGCAGGACACGUAUGAACACAAAGCUGUCAUUUCUUUCUAGAACCAUCUACCAACUCAAUCCAAUCCCACCAGAGGAACUACCAGCAAUCCUCCCGUGGUGGCAGGCGGGCAGGGACUUCAGUGGCUUUCAGUUCAAACACGAGGACAGAGCAGGAGGCCUCUGUGACAGGGGGGGCCACCCGCCUGGAGCAGCCGUGUGUGGAGCUGCGCAGGAGACCUCAGGCCCGUGGAGCGAGGAGACGGCGAAGGCCCCUUGUGGGGCGGCCAGUGCUGGCCAUUUGGAGGGAAGAGCUGAAAAACCACAUCCCCAGCUCCUUCCUCUGCCAAAGCAAAUUCUAGGAGAGAGUUUUGAACAAGAAAAUGAAGCCGUAAAAAGCAAGAAGAAAACACAGCGCCCUGUAAUGCGAUCUCAGAGCAGAAACCACUCUGGUCGCCCCGCACAGUCCUGCCAGGAAACAGCCAGCAAAGUGACUCUCACGAUGGGAAGUCCUGCACGGCGUCCAGCCAUGUGUGUCUCAUCUGUAUGACACGUGUGCUAUGUGCUCAUGUGAAGAACCGACAGGCAGCAAUUAUAUGAAAAGAUGUGAAUCCAACUCAAAGAUCUCUGGGCCUAUGAUAGUGACAAAACUGCAAAAAUUUGUGAAUGCGUGUUGGCGAGGACAUGGAGAAAAGGUAACCCAGACGCCAGCCAGAGCAGGGUGCUAAUUGGCAAGCACCCCCGCAGGGCAAUCGGACCCUAUGAUGCCAGACCCUCGGCCUCACCCUCACGGUGCCCUCUUGUACGUGGAAGUCGGGAGGACCUCGCAGGGGAGCCGGCGUCCCGUGGCCCCACACCAGCAGCAGCAGCAGUGCUCAGGCACAGGGCUAGCAGCAGGAGCCGCCCCGGGGGCUCUGGGGGUGUUAAUCAACCUCACAACAGCCCCCCAGCCUCAGAACAGAUGAGAGAAAAAGGCACAGAAAGGGGGGCGGUAACUGCCCAGGGCCACACAGCAGGAAGUGGGCAGCACAGCCGCCAGGUGAGCCAGGCUGCUGGUGCAGGUGGGGUGGCAGAGCCCUGUACGGGGUGGCAGAGGCCUGUGCAGGGUGGCGCCCUAUCCCCAGCAGCUGGCACCAUUGCCAUAGUGGUGGGCGCAGGGUGUCCUGGUGAGCAGUUUAGUUGCUGAGGUGAUUUCUGUCCCCCUCCCAAGCCUCUGAGGUUGAUUCUGCUUUCCUAAGCACUCUGACUAACAGAAAAUUGUAGGGUGGGCCUGACCCAGCAGCCAUACUGCCAAGCGGGCGGAUGUGGUGAUGCCCAUGUGUCCUGGACAGGCCACUACUGUCCAGUGCAGGACGGUUCUGGGGCCUCCGCUGACUCCAGACGAGGUCCCUUCCCAGCAAAGCCAAGAGCAGCUGCGGCUGAGCUUGGCCUCCUCCCUGCAAGGAGCGCUGCUUUCCGAGGGCCCAGGGCCACGAGCACUGGCCGUGUCCAGGUGCAGCUUGAGGCUUGCCCUUAGAGCUGGGCACACCUGCUGUAGGCCUCGAUGGAGCCCCUCCACGGCCCUGCGGAGGUUUCAGGCCCUUUCCCUCUAGUGAACAGGAGAAUAACAGGACCAGAGAGGGCUUGCGCCUGAGGGACCUAGAACCCUCUCCCUCUCGGUUCCCCGGCUGAGGGGCCAGCUGGACGAGAGGGCUUGCCUUUCCUUUCAGGAGGGCCCUCUGGGCUCCCCGAGGCUUCUCUGGGCAAGUGUCUGGGUACAUGGGGAGACACAGUGGGCUGGCGGGGGCAGCGGGGUCGACUAGAAGCACAUCUACCAGGGGCCAGGGAACGUCCAACAACGGGGCCUGAACAGGCAUCAGGCUCACGGGAAGAGGCCGCUGCCUCCCACGGGCAGAGAGGAAAGCCCAUGCUCCCGGAGGAGGAAACACCAGGCCCUGCGUGAGGACAGUCCCAGCCACCUGCCCAGCCCCCUCCCCGGCAUCGGAAAGGCCUCUCCCCCAACUCCUUGGCUUGGAGAGCCUUUUGCCCCAGGUGGAAUUUUGUCCCAAGUGGUGAGAAUCAUAUUUCCACGUGUGGCUCCUCGGCAGAAGCCUUGGCCACGUUCUGCCCCUACGAGGUGGCCGUGCCUGGGAUCCCAAGGACUCCCGCGGCUGAGGCAGGAGGAGCGCAAGCCAGGCAAUUUGGGGAGGCCUCGUCUCAAAAUAAAAAGGUAGGGGUGUAGUUCAGAGGUGGAGCACCCCUGGGUCCAAUCCCCAAAAGAGAGAAAAGGGGAAACAAAGGGGGGUGGAGUAGCUGGGCAGGAAGGGAAAGAAACACCUUUUCCCCCCUGCUCAGUGCUGGCGUCCACCAGCGGAUCGGCCGCCUGGCCAGAAGUCAGAGCCCCAGGCUUGCUCUGGGUGCAGAUGACCAAGGCCCACCGCCAGAGCCCCUCUGGCUGGGCAGCAACGUCGUCCUCCUGGUGGGAGGCACAGCCCACUCGGGUUUUUCUACAGCCCGACUGGCCACCACUUUGGGAGCUGCUUGCCCUCUGACCCUUGGCUUCCCCCUGUGUGAACAGCAGGGCCCUUCCACGGAGGGCUGCAAGCGCUGAGUAAAGUCGUGUCCAUCACAUCUUAGCCCUCACUAGGGCUGCCGAGCACAUGCCCACCGAGUCCCAUUCCACCACUGGAUUGCACACUGAAGGGGUGGCUGCGGGGCCAGGAGCAUCUGUGGGCCCAGCAGAAGGGCUCUCCCAGCUGCACCCCCACGUCUACUAAAAGACCACCCCUUUGGGUGUCCCUCUCCAAGGGAGUAAAUCAAGAGACCCUGUGGCUGUAGCUCUUCUCUGCUCAGACAGCACCUUCAGGUCCAUCUGCAAAUGGCCUCGCAGGGAGCGGGUGCUCUGUGCUCACCCUGCACCCACCGGUUUCUCAACAAGUUCAUGCCCCACCCGACAACAGCUGCCCGGUAAACACAGCCUUCACUAACUUCCUGGAAGACCGUGUUUUAAUUUCCACAAGCUCGGCCUUGGAGCCCUGGGGAGGGAGGCGCCCUGUGCUGAGCUGGCCCCUCCGCAGUACCUGGCACCUUGCUUUUAUUUAUUCCCACAGGAUUGUUUAAUCAUGUCCAGCCUAAAAUCUUGGCACCCGAGACAGAAGCAAGCUGGUGGGAACGUCCCCCGCUCUCCCCUGCAGGAGUCCAACUCAGAACAUCCCUGAGCGUCCAGGGGCGCACAGACCCGAGGAGGACAGCCAGGACCUCCACCGGGAAGAAGCCACAUCACCUCCCUGGAACGCUCUG
This 3711-nucleotide long non-coding RNA is filed under the name Marmota monax (woodchuck). Lineage: Eukaryota; Metazoa; Chordata; Mammalia; Rodentia; Sciuridae. The record is from RNAcentral.